ACGGAAGGCAGCAGUGAGGAAUAUUGGUCAAUGGGCGGAAGCCUGAACCAGCCAAGUCGCGUGAAGGAUGAAGGUAUUAUGUAUUGUAAACUUCUUUAGCAGCAGAGUAAUAAGGUUCUCGUGAGGACCGAUGCAAGUAUGCUGAAAAUAAGGAUCGGCUAACUCCGUGCCAGCGGCCGCGGUAAUACGGAGGAUCCGAGCGUUAUCCGGAUUUAUUGGGUUUAAAGGGUGCGCAGGCGGCUUUUUAAGUCAGCGGUAAAAUCGUGGGGCUCAACCCCAUCCUGCCGUUGAUACUGGAGAGCUUGAUUGCGGUUGAGGUUGGCGGAAUUCGUCGUGUAGCGGUGAAAUGCAUAGAUAUGACGAAGAACACCGAUUGCGUAGGCAGCUGACCAAGCCGUAAAUGACGCUCAUGCACGAAGGUGCGGGGAUCGAACAGGAUUAGAUACCCUGGUA
This 453-nucleotide ribosomal RNA is filed under the name uncultured Porphyromonadaceae bacterium. RNAcentral describes it as "partial 16S ribosomal RNA". It matches the Rfam family "Bacterial small subunit ribosomal RNA", at positions 341 to 792 of the family's 1533-position model. Lineage: Bacteria; Pseudomonadati; Bacteroidota; Bacteroidia; Bacteroidales; Porphyromonadaceae. The record is from RNAcentral.